This is a long non-coding RNA of Papaver somniferum (opium poppy), 2217 nucleotides long. RefSeq lists it as uncharacterized. NCBI's taxonomy places the organism in Eukaryota, Viridiplantae, Streptophyta, Magnoliopsida, Ranunculales, Papaveraceae. The record is from RefSeq and is a predicted model, not a curated record. The transcript is spliced from 2 exons.
UUUCAUUUCUUUCCGUUCUCCCCUUUCCUCUCUGCUGCUGCUGAUUUUCAUGGCGAUGAGAAAUUAGAACAAGGAAAAUUAUUAUUUGUUGAUCUCGGUGAUGGAUGAGAAGAAACAGUAGAGAAAUGGGUUUGUGAUGUUCUUGAGAGAAGGCGAUGGAGAAAUUCAGGGAGAGAAGGAAUUUAGGGUUUGAUAGGGUUUCUCUGGAAUUGAAACGAAUUGAAGAAAUGGGUGUUUGUGAAGAGUUGUGGUUGUUGAUUUUCAUGGGCUUUGUGGCUGUACAGUUGGGAAAAUGGAAUUGUUGCUGCAAUUGAAGAUGGGAAGAAGUUCAGGGGAGUGGUGAUAUGAAACAAGAACUGGUGAUAGAGUUUCAGAUGGGUUUCAGCCAAGAAAGGGGAUUUGGUGCUAGAAUUUAGGUUUCUUCUGUAGUUCAAUUGAAUUGAAGAAAUUGAUAACUGAAGUAGCAGAAGAGAGAAUUGGAGAGUUGGGUAUUGUUUGAAUUCAUAUUACAGCCGAGAUUGAGAUCGAAAAAUCAUGGAAGACAAGAAAACUGCUGCUGGUUGUGUUUGUGUGAUGAUAAUUAGAGAAGACAUGGAUUUGGUAGUUGUGAUGGAAUUGGUGGUUACAAGAAUCAUAGAAGGAAGAAAUUGGCAAACUGAUUUGUGGAUGUUCGUGGUCGAAAUUGCAGACACGGGAAAUUAGGUUUUGAAGCUGAGAAGGAAGUUGUCUGUGUUGGAUGGCAAUUAUGGCUCAAGCAGCUAUAGAUGAGGCAAUUGCAGAAUGAGUCAGUGUUGGUGAUGUUCUGGUGGCAACGAAAAUGGAAAGUUGGAUUCAGCUGGUUGCAAUGGUUGUAUGCUUGAUAGCAGUUACAAGUGAUGAUAUUGCAGAGAAGAAUAAAAUGGAAUUGCAGUUGUGUUGGCAUCACAUGGAAGAAGAAAUGUUGUUGUUGCAGUUAAUGAUCAAGGAGGAAGCUGAGAAGCAGCAGCUAGUUAUGGAGAUUGAAGGAAGUUGCAGGAGCAACAAGGUGUUGGUGUUGGCUGUGCGCAAGAAGAGUAGCUGAGUUAGUGUGGUUGAAUUGUGGAUUGAUGGUCUGCGACCCGGAAGAUGCACAUGACUUAGGUGCAGGUUAUGCACUUGGAGUUGAUGGUUAAUGGGUUAUGAGGAUUGUCUUUGUAUUGAGAUGCUCUGAAGAAUGAUAUUAAGAGCUGGUGACUCAAACUGGCAGGGAAGUACAGAAAAUAAGCUUGUGGCAGUGAGCUGAGAAUGCGAAGGGAAAUGAUUCAAGUCUGCUGUUGUUGAAGACAUGGGUUUGAGCAGUUUGGAAUAGAAAAUCAAGAUGGGUUUGAGAGCUUUGGCUGUUAAUGGUGUUAACUGAAUAGCGGGUCUCUGCGAAGUUGGUAUAAGCAGGUGCAGGUGAUGAGAGGAACAAUGGGUACCUCCAGAAUCAAAUCUGGUGCUACUGAAGUUGAUCAGAAGCAAUGAUGCUGGUGGUGUUACUGAGAUGGCUUACAGUGGAAACAAUGCAAGUGCAGGGAACUGUAAUGAAUGGAAGAAGCGCAGUGGUUCGUGUUGGGUAUGGAGACUUUAAAGUGGUGUUGCUGCUGAGGUUUUGAGCUUAGCAAGGAUUGCAGUCAAGAGCUAAUAAUCUAGUAUUGCAAGAAAUGUCUGAGUUCGAAGCAAAUGAGAUGAAUUAGAGCUGGUGAGAAUUAAGAGAGGUUUGUAUUCGAGUGGUUGCUGAUAUAAGAACAAGGAAAUUGAAUGAAGAGUGAAAGAAGCAGCUGAUAGUUGAACUGAAGAUGGCGCUACUGCUGGUAAUGAACAGUGGAGAUAAUUGCAGGGAAGAAGAAUUACAAGGUUAGUGAGUUAGCUGGUGGUGCUAGAGCUGUAUUAAUGCCUUGUCAGUUCCACAAGAUUGACAGGCUAAGUUAAUUGUACAUGGGCCUGUAUUGACUGGGCUGUGUCUGCUAGUGGGCUGGAAGUGGUCAGGCUUGGUCGAGACUUUUAAGUCUUAUAUCUUAGGAGCCAAUUCACACAACAAAGGAGGCUAUAUAAGCUCUCUAGGGUUCUAUUUUAGAAAAGAUCUUAUCUUUUUCUUCUACUUUCAUUUCUAGGGUUUAGAAACAUGAUAGGUUUUAUCUUCCUCCUUGUUAUGAACUCCAUGAAUAUGAGUACCUAGUUUUUAUCAUUGGUUAAAGGAAUAAGUUGGAUUUCCAAACA